AAAGGAAUAGACGGGGGCCCGCACAAGCGGUGGAGCAUGUGGUUUAAUUCGACGCAACGCGAAGAACCUUACCAAGGCUUGACAUCCCGCUGAAGAGGAAGAAAUUCCUCCGUGCCCUUCGGGGAAAGCGGAGACAGGUGGUGCAUGGUUGUCGUCAGCUCGUGUCGUGAGAUGUUGGGUUAAGUCCCGCAACGAGCGCAACCCUUGCCCUCAGUAGCCAUCAUUAAGUUGGGGACUCUGAGGGGACUGCCGCGGAUAACGCGGAGGAAGGUGGGGACGAUGUCAAAUCAUCAUGCCCUUUAUGUCUUGGGCUACACACGUGCUACAAUGGGCGCGACAGAGCGAAGCGAAGCGGCAACGCGGAGCAAAGCGCAAAAAAGCGUCCUCAGUUCGGAUUAAGGGCUGCAACCCGCCCUUAUGAAGCCGGAAUCGCUAGUAAUCGCGAAUCAGAAUGUCGCGGUGAAUACGUUCCCGGGCCUUGUACACACCGCCCGU
This 495-nucleotide ribosomal RNA is filed under the name uncultured bacterium. Its description in RNAcentral is "bacterial SSU rRNA". It matches the Rfam family "Bacterial small subunit ribosomal RNA", at positions 903 to 1397 of the family's 1533-position model. The record is from RNAcentral.